CACCUGUUUAUCAAAAACAUAGCUUUUUGAUUAUAAUUUAAGGUUAUUUCUGCCCUAUGAAAUUUUUAAAUGGCUGCAGUAUAUUGACUGUGCUAAGGUAGCAUAAUCAAUUGUUUCUUAAUUAGAAACUUGAAUGAAGGAAAAGAUGAGAUUUUAACUGUCUUAAUUUAAGAUUUAUAAAUUAUUUUUUAAGUAAGAAAACUUAAAUAAUAUUAUGGGACGAGAAGACCCUAUAGAAUUUUAUAUAAUUUUUAUUAAAUAUUUUUUAUUUAUUUAUUAAAAUAAGUUAUAUUUAGUUGGGAGGAUUAUUAAAUAACUAUAACUUUAAUUGAAAUAAGUCAUUAAUUAGUGGUUUAAGGAAUGAUUAUUAGGUUAUAAUUAAGGAAGAAUUAAUUACCUUAGGGAUAACAGCGUAAUAUUUUUAGAGAGAUCAUAUUAAUAAAAAUGGUUGCGACCUCGAUGUUGAAUUAAGAUAAAAAUUAGGUGUAGAAGUUUAAUAUUUAGGUCUGUUCGACCUUUAAAAUCUUACAUGAUUUGAGUUCAAAUCGACG
This 551-nucleotide ribosomal RNA is filed under the name Aphaenogaster senilis. RNAcentral's name for it is "partial 16S ribosomal RNA". It matches the Rfam family "Bacterial large subunit ribosomal RNA", at positions 1797 to 2621 of the family's 2925-position model. Lineage: Eukaryota; Metazoa; Arthropoda; Insecta; Hymenoptera; Formicidae. The record is from RNAcentral.